Xiphophorus couchianus (Monterrey platyfish) is the source of this 2193-nucleotide long non-coding RNA. RefSeq lists it as uncharacterized. The transcript has 3 exons. NCBI's taxonomy places the organism in Eukaryota, Metazoa, Chordata, Actinopteri, Cyprinodontiformes, Poeciliidae. The record is from RefSeq and is a predicted model, not a curated record.
GUUAGAACGAGGUACCGCUCUUGAAUUUAAUUCUAAGCAGUUAAACCUUUCCGUAUUUGUACGACCUGGUGGCACUUAUUGUGCUCUCACCGAUUUAUGAGUUUCCAACCAGCUUACAUUCCUGACAAAACUGAAAAUGCUCGCUUAUGUGUCAUGCAUUGUGGGUAUUUUCUGUCUAAUGUUGUUGAUUGCUGCAUUCAGUGCAACGCAGUAGCUUCGGACCAGGACAAAUUUCCCCUUGCGGGACAAUAAAGUAUAUCGGGGUUUUUUUUCAAAACGUGUUUUCGUUGCUGUAUUCAUUUUAAGACUUAUUAUCAUAGGAGUCAUUUUCAGGGCUGCGUUCACGCUGAACAUCCCUCACUAAGACCAAAACGGGGAAACACAACUAACUCAGCUCCCACUCCCAGAAUUGACUUUUCCCUUCUAAGAAUUGAAGCCCAAAACUUUCUAGAUUCACCAGAGGUUUUGACCAAGAAUGUGAAAGAGAAUAACGAGCCGCUGUUAAAGGUUUUAUUCAGAAAUUAGAUGGGAAAUUUUAGAUUUCAGUGGUUAUACUUUCUAUUGAGAUAAAUGGGAGAUAUUUUAUAUCUUUUUUUCUUUCUUUGUAGAACAUCCAGACACAAAAGUAGUCUUCAUCCUAAACAUACAACUUCAAUUUGCCUUUGUUUGUUUUACAAGUAUUUCAAGCCCCUGACUAGUUGUUUGCCAAAAGUUAAAUUUAGAUUUUAAAGAUUAAAUUAGGGAACAAAUAUAACCAAACAUCUUGUCUGAAGGAGGGCGGGGGGCGUCUCACCAAGCUGAGAGUAGGGGUUAGAGAAAUGCUUAAUAACCCUGGGGAGGACGCAGCUUUUGAAACAUAUGGCUCAGCCCACCCCAAUGAAUUUUGCACAGUUCUUUCAUGUAUCAAGUUCGGGCUGUUUCUCUGCAGAGACGCUUCCCCCCGUGGCUAAAGCUUUGGGGUUUUUAAACAUGCAAUUUGGGCUCGGAAAAAUAACGACUCUUAGUUGUAAAACCGGCGUUGCGGAGUGAACGCUAAAAAAACUACAAACGGCAAUUACUUUCGGCUGACGCUCUCUCACGCUUUAUGCUGUCUCGUGACAAAAGCGCAUUUCCAAGCCCCUCGCAUCGUCAUGGAACGCCGCAGCCCCCCCCAAACCCGCCUCGUCUCAAGAUGAGGCGAGUGACGUCUAAAAAAUGAUGGAUUGUUCCCAGCCAUCCUUUGGGGUCGAGUCUGUGUUACAAUAUCGAUGUGGGAACGCCGACACUGAACGGGAGGACUGGCUACAUCAAAGGAGGAAUGCAAUCUUAGCGCCAGAUUUAUGAGAAACUUUAUCCGAGACGGGCCACUUCAGAGAGGAGGCUGUUGCGUGGUGAGCAGAGACGGCUUGAGGUAUCAGCCUCAAGAACGUCGACGCGGAACCCCGAAAAGACCGACACUUUUUGGGGUCGACUCUGGCUCAGCGGGGAGCCUCGCGAGCGUCAGGCAAACGAAGUUGCAGAUGCGUUCAAAGUCAAACAGCAGAGGACUUGCAGAAAUGUAAGAAAACUGACGGACGUUGUUGAACUAGCUAACGAACGAGAUGUUUCCAGAUUUCUUUUGAGAGUCUGGAGACAUUUUGUGGUACCCAACGGAAAAAAAAGAAGCGUCAACAGAGAGACAAGCUAACAAAAAAAUUUAAUUAUCUUUAUACUAUUUUUUCUCAUUGCCUUCCUCUGUAAAACCAACAUGGAUGACUUGGUUUAUUACAACGCUCAAGUUCAUAUCUUUUUAGCUUCUUCUGAAAAACUAAAGGGCUAAUUCAGACUUUUGUUGCAUUUCAUCUUUGUCUAUUGAAAAUGAUAAUUUUUUGGAUUUAAUUUCAGAACGGCAAAUAUAUUCAUUUAUUUUUUUAAUCUUUUUUUAAUCAUUUUAAUAUUAAUUUGAAACGCAUUGAUCAAUUUUUAUAGCUUGAUCUUUUCAGUCGCAUUAAUUAGCAAAUACAGCAUCAUUUUUUGAAGCAUAAUUUACAUAUUUUCAUAACUGCUUAUUCAGUUCAGCGGCUCCUUCACGACUCUACGAAGAUCUUUGUUGCUGCGCAACGACGGUUGCUUCGUCACUUGCUGCGGAAAAGAAAGUCGCAUUUUUGUUGCGAGCGUCUGUGCCGCCAUACGGUCGGAAUCCCAGGGAAGGCGCUCGAAACGGAGCGUCGCUGU